RNAcentral lists this ribosomal RNA (428 nucleotides) under Chloroflexota bacterium. RNAcentral's name for it is "Chloroflexi bacterium partial 16S ribosomal RNA". It matches the Rfam family "Bacterial small subunit ribosomal RNA", at positions 355 to 776 of the family's 1533-position model. The record is from RNAcentral. Lineage: Bacteria; Bacillati; Chloroflexota.
UGGGGAAUAUUGCACAAUGGGCGCAAGCCUGAUGCAGCCAUGCCGCGUGUGUGAAGAAGGCCUUCGGGUUGUAAAGCACUUUCAGCGGGGAGGAAGGCGUUAAGGUUAAUAACCUUGGCGAUUGACGUUACCCGCAGAAGAAGCACCGGCUAACUCCGUGCCAGCAGCCGCGGUAAUACGGAGGGUGCAAGCGUUAAUCGGAAUUACUGGGCGUAAAGCGCACGCAGGCGGUCUGUCAAGUCGGAUGUGAAAUCCCCGGGCUCAACCUGGGAACUGCAUUCGAAACUGGCAGGCUAGAGUCUUGUAGAGGGGGGUAGAAUUCCAGGUGUAGCGGUGAAAUGCGUAGAGAUCUGGAGGAAUACCGGUGGCGAAGGCGGCCCCCUGGACGAAGACUGACGCUCAGGUGCGAAAGCGUGGGAGCAAACAGG